AGUCGAGCGGACCGACGGGAGCUUGCUCCCUUAGGUCAGCGGCGGACGGGUGAGUAACACGUGGGUAACCUGCCUGUAAGACUGGGAUAACUCCGGGAAACCGGGGCUAAUACCGGAUGCUUGAUUGAACCGCAUGGUUCAAUCAUAAAAGGCGGCUUCGGCUGCCGUUUACAGAUGGACCCGCGGCGCAUUAGCUAGUUGGUGAGGUAACGGCUCACCAAGGCGACGAUGCGUAGCCGACCUGAGAGGGUGAUCGGCCACACUGGGACUGAGACACGGCCCAGACUCCUACGGGAGGCAGCAGUAGGGAAUCUUCCGCAAUGGACGAAAGUCUGACGGAGCAACGCCGCGUGAGUGAUGAAGGUUUUCGGAUCGUAAAGCUCUGUUGUUAGGGAAGAACAAGUACCGUUCGAAUAGGGCGGUACCUUGACGGUACCUAACCAGAAAGCCACGGCUAACUACGUGCCAGCAGCCGCGGUAAUACGUAGGUGGCAAGCGUUGUCCGGAAUUAUUGGGCGUAAAGCGCGCGCAGGCGGUUUCUUAAGUCUGAUGUGAAAGCCCCCGGCUCAACCGGGGAGGGUCAUUGGAAACUGGGGAACUUGAGUGCAGAAGAGGAGAGU
Molecule: ribosomal RNA, 620 nt
Filed under: Bacillus sp. (in: firmicutes)
Lineage: Bacteria; Bacillati; Bacillota; Bacilli; Caryophanales; Bacillaceae
Description: bacterial SSU rRNA
Rfam family: Bacterial small subunit ribosomal RNA
Source: RNAcentral